RNAcentral lists this ribosomal RNA (978 nucleotides) under Formosa sp. TB 65. RNAcentral describes it as "bacterial SSU rRNA". It matches the Rfam family "Bacterial small subunit ribosomal RNA", at positions 54 to 1035 of the family's 1533-position model. The record is from RNAcentral. Lineage: Bacteria; Pseudomonadati; Bacteroidota; Flavobacteriia; Flavobacteriales; Flavobacteriaceae.
CAUGCAAGUCGAGGGGUAACAUUUUAGCUUGCUAAAGAUGACGACCGGCGAACGGGUGCGUAACGCGUAUAGAAUCUACCUCUUACUAAGGGAUAGCCCAGAGAAAUUUGGAUUAAGACCUUAUAGUAUGCAGACUUGGCAUCAAGACUGCAUUAAAGAUUACGGUAGGAGAUGACUAUGCGUCCUAUUAGCUAGAUGGUGUGGUAACGGCACACCAUGGCAACGAUAGGUAGGGGCCCUGAGAGGGGGAUCCCCCACACUGGUACUGAGACACGGACCAGACUCCUACGGGAGGCAGCAGUGAGGAAUAUUGGACAAUGGAGGCAACUCUGAUCCAGCCAUGCCGCGUGCAGGAAGACUGCCCUAUGGGUUGUAAACUGCUUUUAUACAGGAAGAAACACUGCUACGUGUAGCAGCUUGACGGUACUGUAAGAAUAAGGAUCGGCUAACUCCGUGCCAGCAGCCGCGGUAAUACGGAGGAUCCAAGCGUUAUCCGGAAUCAUUGGGUUUAAAGGGUCCGUAGGUGGAUAAUUAAGUCAGAGGUGAAAUCCUGCAGCUCAACUGUAGAAUUGCCUUUGAUACUGGUUAUCUUGAGUUAUUAUGAAGUAGUUAGAAUAUGUAGUGUAGCGGUGAAAUGCAUAGAUAUUACAUAGAAUACCAAUUGCGAAGGCAGAUUACUAAUAAUAUACUGACACUGAUGGACGAAAGCGUGGGGAGCGAACAGGAUUAGAUACCCUGGUAGUCCACGCCGUAAACGAUGGUCACUAGCUGUUCGAACUUCGGUUUGAGUGGCUAAGCGAAAGUGAUAAGUGACCCACCUGGGGAGUACGUUCGCAAGAAUGAAACUCAAAGGAAUUGACGGGGGCCCGCACAAGCGGUGGAGCAUGUGGUUUAAUUCGAUGAUACGCGAGGAACCUUACCAGGGCUUAAAUGUAGAUUGACAGGACUAGAGAUAGUUUUUUCUUCGGACAAUUUACA